CAGGCCUAACACAUGCAAGUCGAACGAGAAAGUGGAGCAAUCCAUGAGUAAAGUGGCGACCGGGUGAGUAACACGUGACUAACCUACCUUCGAGUGGGGGAUAACCUAGGGAAACCUGGGCUAAUACCGCAUAACAUCUUUGGAGUGGAAACUCUGGAGAUCAAAGGGGCAAUUCGCUUGAAGAGGGGGUCGCGGCUGAUUAGCUAGUUGGCGGGGUAAUGGCCCACCAAGGCUUUGAUCGGUAGCCGGCCUGAGAGGGCGCACGNCCACACUGGAACUGAAACACGGUCCAGACUCCUACGGGAGGCAGCAGUGGGGAAUUUUGCGCAAUGGGGGAAACCCUGACGCAGCAACGCCGCGUGGAGGAUGAAGUCCCUUGGGACGUAAACUCCUUUCGACCGGGACGAUAAUGACGGUACCGGUGGAAGAAGCCCCGGCUAACUUCGUGCCAGCAGCCGCGGUAAUAC
RNAcentral lists this ribosomal RNA (467 nucleotides) under uncultured Acidobacteriota bacterium. RNAcentral's name for it is "bacterial SSU rRNA". It matches the Rfam family "Bacterial small subunit ribosomal RNA", at positions 43 to 526 of the family's 1533-position model. Lineage: Bacteria; Pseudomonadati; Acidobacteriota. The record is from RNAcentral.